AGCGAACGCUGGCGGCAGGCCUUACACAUGCAAGUCGAACGAACUCUUCGGAGUUAGUGGCGGACGGGUGAGUAACACGUGGGAACGUGCCUUUUGGUUCGGUAUAACUCAGGGAAACUUGUGCUAAUACCGAAUGUGCCCUUCGGGGGAAAGAUUUAUCGCCAUUAGAGCGGCCCGCGUCUGAUUAGCUAGUUGGUGAGGUAACGGCUCACCAAGGCGACGAUCAGUAGCUGGUCUGAGAGGAUGACCAGCCACACUGGGACUGAGACACGGCCCAGACUCCUACGGGAGGCAGCAGUGGGGAAUCUUGCGCAAUGGGCGAAAGCCUGACGCAGCCAUGCCGCGUGAAUGAUGAAGGUCUUAGGAUUGUAAAAUUCUUUCACCGGGGACGAUAAUGACGGUACCCGGAGAAGAAGCCCCGGCUAACUUCGUG
This 433-nucleotide ribosomal RNA is filed under the name uncultured bacterium. RNAcentral's name for it is "partial 16S ribosomal RNA". It matches the Rfam family "Bacterial small subunit ribosomal RNA", at positions 29 to 507 of the family's 1533-position model. The record is from RNAcentral.